UACGUAGGGAGCAAGCGUUGUCCGGAAUUACUGGGCGUAAAGGGUGCGUAGGCGGUUAGCCAAGUCAGAUGUGAAAUCCCCGGGCUUAACUCGGGUGGUGCAUUUGAAACUGGUUGACUUGAGUGCAGGAGAGGAAAGUGGAAUUCCUAGUGUAGCGGUGAAAUGCGUAGAUAUUAGGAGGAACACCAGUGGCGAAGGCGACUUUCUGGACUGUUACUGACACUGAGGCACGAAAGCGUGGGGAGCAAACAGG
RNAcentral lists this ribosomal RNA (253 nucleotides) under uncultured bacterium. Its description in RNAcentral is "partial 16S ribosomal RNA". It matches the Rfam family "Bacterial small subunit ribosomal RNA", at positions 524 to 776 of the family's 1533-position model. The record is from RNAcentral.